This 465-nucleotide ribosomal RNA is filed under the name Vreelandella stevensii. RNAcentral's name for it is "partial 16S ribosomal RNA". It matches the Rfam family "Bacterial small subunit ribosomal RNA", at positions 338 to 795 of the family's 1533-position model. Lineage: Bacteria; Pseudomonadati; Pseudomonadota; Gammaproteobacteria; Oceanospirillales; Halomonadaceae. The record is from RNAcentral.
CCUACGGGGGGCAGCAGUGGGGAAUAUUGGACAAUGGGGGGAACCCUGAUCCAGCCAUGCCGCGUGUGUGAAGAAGGCCCUCGGGUUGUAAAGCACUUUCAGUGAGGAAGAACGCCUGGUGGUUAAUACCCAUCAGGAAAGACAUCACUCACAGAAGAAGCACCGGCUAACUCCGUGCCAGCAGCCGCGGUAAUACGGAGGGUGCGAGCGUUAAUCGGAAUUACUGGGCGUAAAGCGCGCGUAGGUGGCUUGAUAAGCCGGUUGUGAAAGCCCCGGGCUCAACCUGGGAACGGCAUCCGGAACUGUCAAGCUAGAGUGCAGGAGAGGAAUGUAGAAUUCCCGGUGUAGCGGUGAAAUGCGUAGAGAUCGGGAGGAAUACCAGUGGCGAAGGCGGCCUUCUGGACUGACACUGACACUGAGGUGCGAAAGCGUGGGUAGCAAACAGGAUUAGAUACCCUAGUAGUC